CCUACGGGUGGCUGCAGUGGGGGAUAUUGGACAAUGGGGGAAACCCUGAUCCCGCGACGCCGCGUGAGUGAAGAAGUAUUUCGGUAUGUAAAGCUCUAUCAGCAGGGACGAAAGAAAUGACGGUACCUGAGUAAGAAGCCCCGGCUAACUACGUGCCAGCAGCCGCGGUAAUACGUCGGGGGCAAGCGUUAUCCGGAAUUACUGGGUGUAAAGGGAGCGUAGACGGUAAUGCAAGUCUGGAGUGAAAGGCGGGGGCCCAACCCCCGGACUGCUCUGGAAACUGUGUAACGGGAGUGCAGGAGAGGCAGGCGGAAUUCCUAGUGUAGCGGUGAAAUGCGUAGAUAUAUGGAAGAACACCAGUGGCGAAAGCGGCUCUCUGGUCUGUAACUGACGCUGAGGUUCGAAAGCGUGGGUAGCAAACAGGAUUAGAUACCCCAGUAGUC
RNAcentral lists this ribosomal RNA (443 nucleotides) under uncultured bacterium. RNAcentral describes it as "partial 16S ribosomal RNA". It matches the Rfam family "Bacterial small subunit ribosomal RNA", at positions 338 to 795 of the family's 1533-position model. The record is from RNAcentral.